This 523-nucleotide ribosomal RNA is filed under the name uncultured bacterium. RNAcentral's name for it is "partial 16S ribosomal RNA". It matches the Rfam family "Bacterial small subunit ribosomal RNA", at positions 28 to 523 of the family's 1533-position model. The record is from RNAcentral.
GACGAACGCUGGCGGCGUGCCUAAUACAUGCAAGUCGAACGCUUUUUCUUUCACCGGAGCUUGCUCCACCGAAAGAAAAAGAGUGGCGAACGGGUGAGUAACACGUGGGUAACCUGCCCAUCAGAAGGGGAUAACACUUGGAAACAGGUGCUAAUACCGUAUAACACUAUUUUCCGCAUGGAAGAAAGUUGAAAGGCGCUUUUGCGUCACUGAUGGAUGGACCCGGGGUGCAUUAGCUAGUUGGUGAGGUAACGGCUCACCAAGGCAACGAUGCAUAGCCGAGCUGAGAGGGUGAUCGGCCACACUGGGACUGAGACACGGCCCAGACUCCUACGGGAGGCAGCAGUAGGGAAUCUUCGGCAAUGGACGAAAGUCUGACCGAGCAACGCCGCGUGAGUGAAGAAGGUUUUCGGAUCGUAAAACUCUGUUGUUAGAGAAGAACAAGGAUGAGAGUAAAAUGUUCAUCCCUUGUCGGUAUCUAACCGGAAAGCCACGGCUAACUACGUGCCAGCCGCCGCGGUAA